This 569-nucleotide long non-coding RNA is filed under the name Olea europaea (common olive). RNAcentral describes it as "long non-coding RNA (OEUR_LNC012937)". Lineage: Eukaryota; Viridiplantae; Streptophyta; Magnoliopsida; Lamiales; Oleaceae. The record is from RNAcentral.
CACCAUCGCCGCCACCAUCAAUCUCAAACAACACCACAAAUAAUAUCGUCCAAAAAGUACAAAAUAAAACCUAGAAAUCAAUUAGCAGAAGCAAAUAUUCUGAAUCAUUUGGCUAUAUUUCAGAGCAAAAUUGGGGGCCAUUUUUCACUAUCACUCUCUUAAUUAAUUGGAACUAGUUAGAAAUGGCGAAAACCUCCGAAUUUGCACGUGUUAAGUUAUCAGAAAAACCAUCCCCGAGCCAAGUCGCCAACUUAACGAUUUCAAACCCUUCGCUCGCCAACUAUCUCAGAGCCUUAUUCUCGCAUAACCUCUUCAGAGCCUUCGCCAAGGCCUCCAUCUCCAUCGCGUCGAAGAACACAUUUGAUAUGAGCACUAAAUCCACCUCUCCCAACUCUUCAAGUUGAGCACGAAAUCCACCUCCCCACACGUGUUGACUUAUCGAGACUCGAUUUCCCAGUGGAAAGGAUCAAAGCAGAGUCCCCAAGUUCAACCAAUUAGGUAGGCGUAGGGGUAGGAAUGUGGGUGGGAGUGGCACCAGCAAUGGCGAUGCCAGGGCUGGUGGUUGUUUG